This 1328-nucleotide ribosomal RNA is filed under the name metagenome. Its description in RNAcentral is "bacterial LSU rRNA". It matches the Rfam family "Bacterial large subunit ribosomal RNA", at positions 1577 to 2925 of the family's 2925-position model. The record is from RNAcentral.
CUUAAAGUAGCGAAGGUCCGUGAGCCAUGCGUCAAGAAAAGCCGCUAUUGUUUAUACCGUACCCGUACCGUAAACCGACACAGGUGGAUGAGGAGAGAAUCCUAAGGCCGGCGGAAGAAGCAUUGUCAAGGAACUCGGCAAAAUGGCCCCGUAACUUAGGGAUAAGGGGUGCCUGGGAAACCAGGCCGCAGAGAAUAGGCUCAAGCAACUGUUUAGCAAAAACACAGGUCUAUGCGAAACCGAAAGGUGAGGUAUAUGGGCUGACGCCUGCCCGGUGCUGGAAGGUUAAGAGGAGAGGUUAGCGCAAGCGAAGCUUUGAAUUUAAGCCCCAGUAAACGGCGGCCGUAACAAUAACGGUCCUAAGGUAGCGAAAUUCCUUGUCGGGUAAGUUCCGACCCGCACGAAAGGCGUAAUGAUUUGAGCGCUGUCUCGACAAUGCAUCCGGUGAAAUUGAAGUACCAGUGAAGAUGCUGGUUACCUGCGCCAGGACGGAAAGACCCCAUGGAGCUUUACUCCAGUCUGGUACUGGGACUCGGUAUUGCAUGUACAGGAUAGGUGGGAGGCUAGGAGAUGGUAACGCCAGUUGCCAUGGAGCCGCUGUUGGGAUACCACCCCUGCAGUAUUGGGUUUCUAACCAGCCGCCGUGACCCGGUGGUGGGACAAUGCCAGACGGGGAGUUUGACUGGGGCGGUCGCCUCCGAAAGGGUAUCGGAGGCGCCCAAAGGUUCCCUCAGAAUGGACGGAAACCAUUCGAAGAGUGCAAAGGCAGAAGGGAGCUUGACUGCGACACCGACGGGUGGAGCAGGUACGAAAGUAGGGCUUAGUGAUCUGGUGGUAUUAAGUGGGAAUGCCAUCGCUCAACGGAUAAAAGCUACCCUGGGAUAACAGGCUUAUCACUCCCAAGAGUUCACAUCGACGGAGUGGUUUGGCACCUCGAUGUCGGCUCAUCGCAUCCUGGGGCUGUAGUAGGUCCCAAGGGUUGGGCUGUUCGCCCAUUAAAGCGGUACGCGAGCUGGGUUCAGAACGUCGUGAGACAGUUCGGUCCCUAUCCGGCGUGGGCGUAGGAUAUCUGAGAGGAGCUGUCCUUAGUACGAGAGGACCGGGAUGGACGGGCCGCUGGUGCAUCGGUUAGACUGCCAAGUCUACGGCCGAGUAGCCAAGCCCGGAAGGGAUAAACGCUGAAGGCAUCUAAGCGUGAAGCCCCCCUUAAGAUGAGAUAUCCCAUUCGAAAGAAGUAAACCCCCUUGAAGACGACGAGGUAGAUAGGGCAGAGGUGGAAGUGUGGCAACACAUGGAGCUGACUGUUACUAAUCGGGUGAGGGCUUGUC